Molecule: long non-coding RNA, 826 nt
Organism: Tripterygium wilfordii
Lineage: Eukaryota; Viridiplantae; Streptophyta; Magnoliopsida; Celastrales; Celastraceae
Exons: 3
Source: RefSeq, a predicted model, not a curated record
AACUUAUUUCUCCUUGCAGAUCUGGUUUCUCCUUGCACAGUUUCGAUUUCACCACCAAAACUCAUUUCUCCUUGCACAGAUCUGAUUCAAGCCCAGAAACAUCUGGUAAAGUGGGAGGAUUUUCAUGCGAUGGAGAGGGAAAGCAUGAGAGAGAAUAAUAAAUUUUUUUUUGAGGGAUGCAUGAUACCUUGCCAUGUUUGAGGGAGAGAGAUUGUUCAAUACCAUUUUGGGGGUUGUGGGUGGGGACCGGUUGGAGCAUGUGUUUUCAAAAAAUGGUCCCUCAAAAUGACUUUUCUCCAUUUUAGGGGACCGGUUGGAGUUGCUAUGAUGAUAUUAUUAUAAUAUCUAUAAGACGAAACUCACAUGUCCAGAUAAAUUCAAAUAUAUAAAUUAAAUUCAAAAAAGUAUAUUGUAAACGAUUUCCGCUUCAGACUCUUGGGUCUUCAAACGUUUGGUCGUCUUCUUCGAAAUUGAAUCUUCCUGAAAUUGGGUGCAUGUAUUUAUCAAUAUGGAAGCCGAAAUCGAAGCCAACAGUCAAAUCCAAAGUCGAAGUUGUGUUCGAUCAUUGAUAGGUACUAGACGAAGACAACAAUGAACAACCCAGAGAGCUACGAAAUUACAUUACUGGGAUGCUCCAAUUGAGGUUGUUGCUAGACAUUGGAUUUGGUUUGAUCUGUUUAAGAAACAGGGCAGGGCUCGACAUGUAGUCAUACGGCACCGUAUUUGGAGAGGAUGGCGAGUUGUUUGUCAUACGAGUCAAACUUAUUUUGUUUAUGCUCGCCAGUGGCGUACCUGAGUUUACAGGCGCCCCGGGCGAGCUCUAGAA